GAGACACCCUUAUGGAGUAGGAUUUGCUUCAGUGGGGCUUUGGUGCUCACUGAGUCUGCUCUUGGAGUGUGUUGCU
RNAcentral lists this microRNA precursor (76 nucleotides) under Myotis brandtii (Brandt's bat). RNAcentral describes it as "mir-9229 microRNA precursor family". It matches the Rfam family "mir-9229 microRNA precursor family". The record is from Rfam by way of RNAcentral. Lineage: Eukaryota; Metazoa; Chordata; Mammalia; Chiroptera; Vespertilionidae.